RNAcentral lists this ribosomal RNA (255 nucleotides) under uncultured bacterium. Its description in RNAcentral is "partial 16S ribosomal RNA". It matches the Rfam family "Bacterial small subunit ribosomal RNA", at positions 524 to 776 of the family's 1533-position model. The record is from RNAcentral.
UACGGAGGGGGCAAGCGUUGUUCGGAAUUACUGGGCGUAAAGGGCUCGUAGGUGGCCAACUAAGUCAGACGUGAAAUCCCUCGGCUUAACCGGGGAACUGCGUCUGAUACUGGAUGGCUUGAGUUUGGGAGAGGGAUGCGGAAUUCCAGGUGUAGCGGUGAAAUUCGUAGAUAUUGGGAAGAACACCAGUGGCGAAGGCGGACUCACUGGCUCGUAACGUGACGCUCAGGCGCGACAGCGUGGGGAUCAAACAGG